GGCGAACGGGUGAGUAAUACAUCGGAACAUUUCCAGUAGCGGGGGAUAACCUGUCGAAAGAUAGGCUAAUACCGCAUACGCCCCACGGGGGAAAGCGGAGGACCGCAAGGCUUCGCACUAUUGGAGUGGCCGAUGUCGGAUUAGCUAGUUGGCGGGGUAACGGCCCACCAAGGCGACGAUCCGUAGCUGGUCUGAGAGGACGAUCAGCCACACUGGAACUGAGACACGGUCCAGACUCCUACGGGAGGCAGCAGUGGGGAAUUUUGGACAAUGGGCGCAAGCCUGAUCCAGCCAUGCCGCGUGAGUGAAGAAGGCCUUCGGGUUGUAAAGCUCUUUCGGUGGGGACGAAAAGGUUCGUGCUAAUACUACGAACUAAUGACGGUACCCGAAGAAGAAGCACCGGCUAACUACGUGCCAGCAGCCGCGGUAAUACGUAGGGUGCAGGCGUUAAUCGGAAUUACUGGGCGUAAAGCGUGCGCAGGCGGUUUGUUAAGACAGAUGUGAAAUCCCCGGGCUUAACCUGGGAACUGCGUUUGUAACUGGCAAGCUAGAGUGUGGCAGAGGGGGGUGGAAUUCC
This 577-nucleotide ribosomal RNA is filed under the name uncultured beta proteobacterium. RNAcentral describes it as "bacterial SSU rRNA". It matches the Rfam family "Bacterial small subunit ribosomal RNA", at positions 97 to 670 of the family's 1533-position model. The record is from RNAcentral. Lineage: Bacteria; Pseudomonadati; Pseudomonadota; Betaproteobacteria.